This 401-nucleotide unclassified non-coding RNA is filed under the name uncultured fungus. Its description in RNAcentral is "partial contains 5.8S ribosomal RNA and internal transcribed spacer 2". The stretch from base 1 to 133 matches the Rfam family "5.8S ribosomal RNA", at positions 22 to 154 of the family's 154-position model. Lineage: Eukaryota; Fungi. The record is from RNAcentral.
UGGCUCUCGCAUCGAUGAAGAACGCAGCGAAAUGCGAUAAGUAAUGUGAAUUGCAGAAUCCAGUGAAUCAUCGAAUCUUUGAACGCACCUUGCGCUCCUUGGUAUUCCGAGGAGCAUGCCUGUUUGAGUGUCAUGGAAUCAUCAACUCUUAUUCUUUUUAAUCAAAGGAACGAGGGCUUGGACUUUGGAGGCUUGUGCUGGCCCUGUUGGGGUCGGCUCCUCUUGAACGCAUUAGCUUGAACCUUCUGCUGUAAUCGGCUGUUCGGUGUGAUGAUUGUCUACGCCGUGGCUGUGAGGCUUUAAACUUGUGGGCUCAGCUUCUAACUGUCCUUUUGAACAAGGACUACCCGCAAAGGGUACCGUUGACCUCUGACCUCAAAUCAGGUAGGAUUACCCGCUGA